CGCGUAGGUGGUUUGUUAAGUUGGAUGUGAAAUCCCCGGGCUCAACCUAGGAACUGCAUCCAAAACUGGCAAGCUAGAGUAUGGUAGAGGGUGGUGGAAUUUCCUGUGUAGCGGUGAAAUGCGUAGAUAUAGGAAGGAACACCAGUGGCGAAGGCGACCACCUGGACUGAUACUGACACUGAGGUGCGAAAGCGUGGGGAGCAAACA
This 207-nucleotide ribosomal RNA is filed under the name uncultured bacterium. Its description in RNAcentral is "partial 16S ribosomal RNA". It matches the Rfam family "Bacterial small subunit ribosomal RNA", at positions 568 to 774 of the family's 1533-position model. The record is from RNAcentral.